UACGAAGGUGGCAAGCGUUGUUCGGAUUCACUGGGCGUACAGGGAGCGUAGGCGGUUGGGUAAGCCCUCCGUGAAAUCUCCGGGCCUAACCCGGAAAGUGCAGAGGGGACUGCUCGGCUAGAGGAUGGGAGAGGAGCGCGGAAUUCCCGGUGUAGCGGUGAAAUGCGUUGAUAUCGGGAGGAACACCAGUGGCGAAGGCGGAUCUCUGGCCCGUUCCUGACGCUAAGGUGCGAAAGCUGGGGGAGCAAACCGGAUUAGAAACCCUAGUAGU
RNAcentral lists this ribosomal RNA (271 nucleotides) under uncultured bacterium. Its description in RNAcentral is "partial 16S ribosomal RNA". It matches the Rfam family "Bacterial small subunit ribosomal RNA", at positions 524 to 794 of the family's 1533-position model. The record is from RNAcentral.